RNAcentral lists this ribosomal RNA (434 nucleotides) under bacterium enrichment culture clone ALO1_GLFRUDD03F21BR. RNAcentral's name for it is "bacterial SSU rRNA". It matches the Rfam family "Bacterial small subunit ribosomal RNA", at positions 9 to 441 of the family's 1533-position model. The record is from RNAcentral.
GAGUUUGAUCGUGGCUCAGAUUGAACGCUGGCGGCAGGCCUAACACAUGCAAGUCGAGCGGAUGACGGGAGCUUGCUCCUUGAUUCAGCGGCGGACGGGUGAGUAAUGCCUAGGAAUCUGCCUGGUAGUGGGGGACAACGUUUCGAAAGGAACGCUAAUACCGCAUAACGUCCUACGGGAGAAAGCAGGGGACCUUCGGGCCUUGCGCUAUCAGAUGAGCCUAGGUCGGAUUAGCUAGUUGGUGGGGUAAUGGCUCACCAAGGCGACGAUCCGUAACUGGUCUGAGAGGAUGAUCAGUCACACCUGGAACUGAGACACGGUCCAGACUCCGUACGGGUAGGCAGCAGUGGGGAAUAUUGGACAAUGGGCGAAAGCCUGAUCCAGCCAUGCCGCGUGUGUGAAGAAGGUCUUCGGAUUGUAAAGCACUUUAAGUU